CCUACGGGAGGCAGCAGUGAGGAAUAUUGCUCAAUGGACGACAGUCUGAACCAGCCAAGUCGCGUGAAUGAUGACUGCCCUAUGGGUUGUAAACUUCUUUUAUAAAGGAAUAAAACGAGAAACGUGUGCCUUUUUGCAUGUACUUUAUGAAUAAGGAACGGCUACCCCCGUGCCAGCAGCGGCGGUAAUGCAGUGGAUCCGAUGGUUGUCCGGAUUUAGUGGGUUUAAAGGGAGCGGAGAUGGGUUGUUAAGUCAGUUGUGAAAGUUUGCGGCUCAACCGUGAAACUGCAAUUGAUACUGGCAGUCUUGAGUACAGUUGAGGUAGGCGGAAUUCGUGGUGUAGCGGUGAAAUGCUUAGAUAUCACGAAGAACCCCGAUUGCGAAGGCAGCUUACUAAACUGUGACUGACACUGAUGUUCGAAAGUGUGGGUAUCAAACAGGAUUAGAUACCCCAGUAGUC
This 460-nucleotide ribosomal RNA is filed under the name uncultured bacterium. RNAcentral's name for it is "partial 16S ribosomal RNA". It matches the Rfam family "Bacterial small subunit ribosomal RNA", at positions 338 to 795 of the family's 1533-position model. The record is from RNAcentral.